AGAUGCAGAGGGACAAGAUGUGCACCAAAGAGUCAUGGAGAAGGCAAGCGGAACCCCAUAAGAAGGUGCAGUGCAGGAUGCAGGCUCAGAGGUGCUAAGCUGCAUGCUGAUGAGCAGGCUGGGAAGGUGCCCUGUGAGCCAUCUUUGGAAGUGGAUGAGCAUUAGAGGUGAGCCGAGGCAGCAGUGAGGAGGAGCUUGGGGCUGGUGACUUCUCACAUGUGCAACAGUAAUUUUGUUUCUUGGUAUCUCAAGCAAUGAUGGCCGCAGUGUCUGACUCUGGAAUGAACAGAUGAUGAAGAGGAACCUGGUGACUACAGCAAUGUCCCAAAUUGUUGAUGUGCUGGUUUUUGUGUGUUUUUUUUUUUUUUUUUUUGUCCACAGGGGAUUUAAGACCUCCAGCCCUCUGAAAGCUGAGUGG
This is a long non-coding RNA of Chroicocephalus ridibundus (black-headed gull), 418 nucleotides long. RefSeq lists it as uncharacterized. The record is from RefSeq and is a predicted model, not a curated record. The transcript has 4 exons. Lineage: Eukaryota; Metazoa; Chordata; Aves; Charadriiformes; Laridae.